Long non-coding RNA from Daphnia pulicaria, 1004 nucleotides. RefSeq lists it as uncharacterized. NCBI's taxonomy places the organism in Eukaryota, Metazoa, Arthropoda, Branchiopoda, Diplostraca, Daphniidae. The transcript has 4 exons. The record is from RefSeq and is a predicted model, not a curated record.
GCAGUGUAGCGGUGAUGUCAUCCUGAAGUGUUCUCAAUGUGUCAGUCUAGGCUGAAGCUAAUUAAAGUGUGCUUUUCAAGUCUUAUUAUAGACAUCAAGCAUAUUGAUAACAAAUUAUAAACAAAGUGAGAUGUCAAGCACAUUAACAACAAAUUAUAAACAAGAUGACUUUCUUUUUUUAUAUAUUUGCAGGGUUUAAACUACAUGUUUCUAAAUUUGCAUACCAGAAUUUAUGAGAAGUCAAGUCGUUUGAAGAAAAAGGACGAUGACUACACAGUCAACAAGGUCCCUUGUUUGAAAACCUGUUGGCUGCUACCUGUGAAUCUCCUUUUUUACUUCCUUAAACGGGCCCUCUAAAUUGAGGGUAACUCCUUCGAUACUGAUCAUCCACUGGACCCGACUUCAUCCAUGGGAAUCAACACAUGGAUUUAAUGCAGACAGCUGGUAAAGGAUGUUCCUCUUGCUACCUGUACUGCUGUGUGUUUCGUCAAAUGAAGAAACAUGAACAACUGAAGUUUAUCGUUUAUGUUCGCGUAGUUGCUGUCCGAUGUGGCACGUUGUUUCAGCCUAUGCUGGUGAAAGAUCUUCCUACAUCAAGUUCUUGGCCGUUCCUUGGUGUCGUGUUACAGAAAUUGCAUCAUUAUUUUGUUGAAUUGUCAUCGUGACUAUGCAGUUUACACUUUACCGUUAAAGGUAAAGUUCAGAAUGUCGAUGUCAAAUAUGUCAACAAAUAAUAAACAUGUUUCCGGGAUUGGGAAAGGAAAGUGGAGGAUGUUGGAGGGAGGAUAUUUCAAGUUUGGACAAAAAUUCAGUUAAUCUAUAACCCUACAAAUGUUGCCCUACCAAUUAAUCUCCAAACCCCACAAACAUAUACCUUCCAAUGCUUAAAACCCCGAAAACAUACACCUACUAACCCGUAAAGUUAAACCCUUAACCCUAAAAACCAAUGUUAAACCUUAACCAUGCAAUAUCUGUAAUAAAUAAAGAUAAAUAUGUUAUAUGAA